Molecule: ribosomal RNA, 459 nt
Filed under: uncultured bacterium
Lineage: Bacteria
Description: partial 16S ribosomal RNA
Rfam family: Bacterial small subunit ribosomal RNA
Source: RNAcentral
CCUACGGGCGGCAGCAGUGAGGAAUAUUGGUCAAUGGGCGCGAGCCUGAACCAGCCAAGUCGCGUGAGGGAAGACGGUCCUAUGGAUUGUAAACCUCUUUUGUCGGGGAGCAAAAGACGCCACGCGUGGCGUUCCGAGAGUACCCGAAGAAAAAGCAUCGGCUAACUCCGUGCCAGCAGCCGCGGUAAUACGGAGGAUGCGAGCGUUAUCCGGAUUUAUUGGGUUUAAAGGGUGCGCAGGCGGAAGAUCAAGUCAGCGGUAAAAUUGAGAGGCUCAACCUGUUCGAGCCGUUGAAACUGGUUGUCUUGAGUGAGUGAGAGGGAUGCGGAAUGCGUGGUGUAGCGGUGAAAUGCAUAGAUAUCACGCAGAACUCCGAUUGCGAAGGCAGCAUACCGGCGCUCAACUGACGCUCAUGCACGAAAGUGUGGGUAUCGAACAGGAUUAGAUACCCGAGUAGUC